Long non-coding RNA from Populus euphratica (Euphrates poplar), 623 nucleotides. RefSeq lists it as uncharacterized. NCBI's taxonomy places the organism in Eukaryota, Viridiplantae, Streptophyta, Magnoliopsida, Malpighiales, Salicaceae. The transcript is spliced from 2 exons. The record is from RefSeq and is a predicted model, not a curated record.
GUGAAGCAUCUAGGGGUUUAAUUCUAAGCACCUAAAACUUUUGCAUCUGUUAAAUUAAUUAGAGAUCAUUAUCUGCAUUCUUGAGUUAUCAUAACUCUCUAUGACAAUGAGCAAUUUUCAGGUGAUCAACUGAAAUGUCAAAUUUUACAAUGUUGCUGAAGCAACCUUUGUCAUGUUAUAUGAUAGUUUCUUCUUGUAAAUCCUUUCAGUAGAGAGUUCUAGUGGCCCAAACUGCAAUAAUGGAGGCAGUGCUACAUUUUUAUUGCUAUUCCCAUGCGCAAGCAUCAGCAAUGCAACAUCGCAGUAGAUGUUAUAUCUCUGGCUAGUUUAACCUCACAGGUGAAUGGUGAUAAAAUGAUGCAGCAAUGAAUAAUGAGAUGUAAAAUACCAGUGCUGCAUUCUGUCCUCAAAUAGGUUGAGAUUGCCUUUGCUGGUUAACGAAAGACCACGAAGCUGAUAAUCAUAGUUCAUCCACCGUCUAGUGCCAACCACGUAUUUCAGCACACUUCGCUAGGUCAUGUCUUGGGUAGUGUAUGCUCCAGAUAUUGCAAGUAGACAUGCCUGUUUCUUGAUGACACGUGCUCUCCUGCCUUUCCCUGGUGUGCUCGUGGAUUGGAAGUGUU